This 476-nucleotide long non-coding RNA is filed under the name Ananas comosus (pineapple). Its description in RNAcentral is "long non-coding RNA (ACOM_LNC006984)". Lineage: Eukaryota; Viridiplantae; Streptophyta; Magnoliopsida; Poales; Bromeliaceae. The record is from RNAcentral.
GUCUAACCUACACAUAGCAAACACUAAAGCCACAACCCCACAACUAAUCCCACGGAGAUCGGUUUUCCAAAACCGACUACCGUAACUCGCUGAAAGUCCCAAAACCGCACCGGGACUCUGCCAGGACCUACGAACUAUCCCGGAACUCACUGACUCGCUCUACGAGUCACCCGCUGCCACUAAACACAAAUAUUCGUGUGACAUGGUAGCAAACAUACCGCCUCACAACGAAACGAUUAUCGUCGAAUAAUCGUUCCGAUCCGGGUUCCCAGAAGUGUCCAAUUCGACACCGGAACCCACCGUCGCUCACCCAUCAUUUUCAAACCCUCGAAAUGACGCGGUUGACCAGCCAACAAGGCUCAGCGACAUAACAAUUUAUCACGAGGCACCGUCGGAAUAAUUCCGAACUGAAAACGCGUUCCGUCGGCGGAUUUUGCCGACAAACGCACCGGAAAUCACUUUUCGAUUUUCGCAAG